RNAcentral lists this ribosomal RNA (233 nucleotides) under uncultured bacterium. RNAcentral's name for it is "partial 16S ribosomal RNA". It matches the Rfam family "Bacterial small subunit ribosomal RNA", at positions 100 to 334 of the family's 1533-position model. The record is from RNAcentral.
CGGGACGGGUGGGUAAUGUCUGGGAAACUGCCUGAUGAGGGGGAGUAACUACUGGAAACGGUAGCUAAUACCGCAUAACGUCGCAAGACCAAAGAGGGGGACCUUAGGGCCUCUUGCCAUCGGAUGUGCCCAGAUGGGAUUAGCUAGUAGGUGGGGUAACGGCUCACCUAGGCGACAAUCCCUAGCUGGUCUGAGAGGAUGACCAGCCACACUGGAACUGAGACACGGUCCAG